This 258-nucleotide ribosomal RNA is filed under the name uncultured bacterium. Its description in RNAcentral is "partial 16S ribosomal RNA". It matches the Rfam family "Bacterial small subunit ribosomal RNA", at positions 103 to 354 of the family's 1533-position model. The record is from RNAcentral.
CGGGUGAGUAACACGUGAGUGACCUGCCUUUUAGACUGGAACAACUUACCGAAAGGUGAGCUAAUGCCGGAUGAGUUAUAUAAGUGCAUGUUUAUAUAGGAAAAGUUGGGGAGACCUGACGCUGAAAGAUGGACUCGCGUCCCAUUAGCUAGUUGGUAGGGUAAUGGCCUACCAAGGCGACGAUGGGUAGCCGGCCUGAGAGGGUGGCCGGCCACACUGGGACUGAGACACGGACCAAACUCCUACGGAAGGCAGCAG